RNAcentral lists this long non-coding RNA (473 nucleotides) under Dasypus novemcinctus (nine-banded armadillo). RNAcentral's name for it is "lncRNA (ENSDNOG00000050102.1)". Lineage: Eukaryota; Metazoa; Chordata; Mammalia; Cingulata; Dasypodidae. The record is from RNAcentral.
UCUCAUUUCCCUGUGAUUUGUCAUCCUGCACUCUGCACCAGUGGGACAGUAAGAACACAAUUAUCUACCUGCGGCUCCUCGUGUCCUUGGGAUUGGCUGAGCAGAGCGGGGAGAGCACGACGUCCUGCCUGGGACCCUGCCUCUCCAGAACCGUCCAGCGGCUCCCACCAGCAGGGGGACCACAGUGGCUCUCCAUCCUGAAGUCUGGAUCCAGAUUUUCCUCAUGUAAAACGCAUCCUGGUGCCAAAGGCCAGCAUUUACUUCCAGUUUUUUUAAAACACUUUUUUUAAAAAAUAAAACAUUGAGAAGACAUUUCCAGUAGGGUAAUUUUCCUUUGUGAAUAUUUUCUUUCUGGAGCACUUAAAACCAUCACACUGAGAAGGAUAUGUUAAUGAAAAUACGAGAUAGCUAUCAAGUUACACAUAAAAAUCAUCUUUUCAAAGACUGGGCUCAUCUGAGCUCCAUUUUCAAAU